This 119-nucleotide ribosomal RNA is filed under the name Oryza sativa Japonica Group (Japanese rice). The record is from RNAcentral. Lineage: Eukaryota; Viridiplantae; Streptophyta; Magnoliopsida; Poales; Poaceae.
GGAUGCGAUCAUACCAGCACUAAAGCACCGGAUCACAUCAGAACUCCGAAGUUAAGCGUGCUUGGGUGAGAGUAGUACUAGGAUGGGUGACCUCCUGGGAAGUCCUCGUGUUGCAUCCC